Maniola jurtina (meadow brown) is the source of this 140-nucleotide long non-coding RNA. RefSeq lists it as uncharacterized. NCBI's taxonomy places the organism in Eukaryota, Metazoa, Arthropoda, Insecta, Lepidoptera, Nymphalidae. The transcript has 4 exons. The record is from RefSeq and is a predicted model, not a curated record.
UAUUUAUAUUAUAUAGUUUUUCUUUUUAUAAACUUAAUGAAAAGUGAAUAUUUAACACCAAACUUUGUAGACCAAAGCACUAGAUAAAAACUGAGACUGUUUGCAAUUUGCAGCCCAAAUAGACCUUAGUUUAUGCUAGG